RNAcentral lists this small nuclear RNA (102 nucleotides) under Cervus elaphus hippelaphus. Lineage: Eukaryota; Metazoa; Chordata; Mammalia; Artiodactyla; Cervidae. The record is from RNAcentral.
ACACUUAACCGGGCACCGGAGAGACUGUGGCUACGAAGGUAGUCCUUCUCAGAAUGAGGCUCGUCUAUUGCACUCGGGACCUCCAGAUGCCGGGAUCUCCUC